GUGGGUCUCAGGGCCAUAGACAGCCUUCGGGUGGGUCUCUUCAGAUUCGACUUGAGCAUUCGUUAUGACAUGUGGACAGAUGAUGAUUUAGAGUAUUGUUUGGACAUUGACUAGAAUAGUAAACAAUAGAACUUUACUAUUUCGCAUUGUGAACAUUAUGAUAGUUGGGGACUUUUACUUCAUGUAUGGUUGUUUCAUACUGAUGCUAUUUAGGCUAAGUAGAGAUAUCAUGUUGUAGUAAGUUACAUUUUACUUACCUUUCGCUUUCCUACAUUUAUAGUCACUAACCUCUUUUGUAGCUUUGGGCCUUGUGGUGCAUUCACUGAAGUCAGUAAUUGCCCACUGGGAACUAUUUUUGAUAGUUCUCACGCCCCUGUUUCUAUGUUUCCUUUUCAGAGCCUUCGGCACCGGCGGAGGCACGGGAUCGCGGCAAGGGGAUCGCGUAGCUAGCUAGCGAGGAGCUUACUUGCCUAGGUGGUUUACUCUUUCUUUUGUAGUUGAGAGAGUGAGAGUUUUUGUACCCUGUAUAGAGACCACCUAUGUAUCUACUCAUAGUACUUGUCUUUGGGAUUUCCUAUUGUAUUUACUUUAUGUUUUAUUUAGUGGACUUACAGUUUGAACUUUAUCCCUUGUUGUUAGCAAUUAGACAUUUUCUAUGCUCUGAUACUCCUAGAUGUCUUUUAUUAUUGCUCUUAUCAUCGUUGUUUUUAGACGCCUUAUAUGUUGUAGACAUAUGGCGGGUCUGGGCACGCGCCGGGCGGGCUUUCGUUGGGUCCCGGGGCGUGACACCUACGGGGUCGAGUGGGACAGACACAUUCCAAGAGUAGGGAUGUUGGGCUACCACAGGCACUUAGGCGGCACAAGCUGGACUACCUUGGGUAGGUCCCUAAUUGGAAAUAAAAAUCGACACGGUUUGAGAAUGAACAAUCACUACAAGACAGUUUGGUAGUUGGAUUACAUUUACAUGCAUAUAGCCUAGGGUUGAGACAUGUAGUAUACUUGACAGUUACCUAUUUCAUCACGGUAUACUUGGUUGCCAUGAUAGAGCUUAUACUUCAUGUAUGAAUAAAGGGUUGUAACAGUAAACUAUUGCCAUUGGUUACUUUUCCUUAUGAUAGAAUAGGUGUACAACAUUCGACAUCUUGCUUAUGAGGAAUAUAGUAGUAUAGCAUUCUACUUAUGCAUUCUCUUUCAGUAGUCAUUUACAUACUCCUUUUUAUUGCUUAUGGCUAUUAGCAUUACUUACCCUUGUUUUGGGGCCUAGUGGAGCAGGAGUUGAGGUCAGUAAUUGCCCACUGGGAACUAUAAAUUAUAGUUCUCACGCCCUCUUUUUCUCGAUGUUUUUCAGAGCCUUCCUCUCAGGGUGAGGCCAGGGACCGCGGGAAGGGAGUUGCUUCGAGCUAGCUUCCUACGAGGACGACUUGCUAGAUGGUCUACCUCUCGUUGUACUUUAUUUUGGAGAGGUUGAGAGUUUUACCAGGGUACUAGAGACCGCCAUUUUUGUAUUGGAGGCUAAUACUGUAUAACUUAUGUUUACCUUUAUGUAUUAGUUAUGUUCUAUUACUAUUUGUAUAGAUGUUAGAACUUUUCUUGCUCUGAUAUCAUUAGAUGCUUGUUAUUUCACUUCUUUUAUUUGACCCAUUCCUUGCUUUUACUUUCGCUUUUCUUGUAGACGCCUUAUAUGUGUAGACAUAUGGCGGGUCUUGGCACGCUACCGGGAGGGCCUCCGCCGGUCCCGAGGCGUGACAGAUUAAUUUGGUAUCAGAGCGAGUUAAGAGCAAGCAAAGAGAGAGUCUAGGAUGGACCUAGGAGACCCUAGGACGGUGAACCCUAAGGUUAUAGGUGCGUGAGUGCGACGUGAACCUAUACGGUGGCGGAAGUUGAUCGAUUGGGUCAAG
RNAcentral lists this long non-coding RNA (1898 nucleotides) under Ananas comosus (pineapple). Its description in RNAcentral is "long non-coding RNA (ACOM_LNC041604)". The record is from RNAcentral. Lineage: Eukaryota; Viridiplantae; Streptophyta; Magnoliopsida; Poales; Bromeliaceae.